Molecule: long non-coding RNA, 1209 nt
Filed under: Salmo trutta (river trout)
Lineage: Eukaryota; Metazoa; Chordata; Actinopteri; Salmoniformes; Salmonidae
Description: lncRNA (ENSSTUG00000024358.1)
Source: RNAcentral
UGUUGUCUAGAUGGACAAUAUAGUUGUAGUAGGUUAGUAGUCAUAGUGUGUUGUCUAGAUGGACAGUGUAGUUGUAGUAGGUUAGUAGUCACAGUGUGUUGUCUAUAUGGGCAGUAUAGUUGUAGUAGGUUAGUAUUCACAGUGUGUUGUCUAGAUGGACAGUAUAGUUGUAGUUGUAGUAGGUUAGUAGUCAUAGUGUGUUGUCUAGAUGGACAGUAUAGUUGUAGUUGUAGUAGGUUAGUAGUCAUAGUGUGUUGUCUAGAUGGACAGUAUAGUUGUAGUAGGUUAGUAGUCAUAGUGUGUUGUCUAGAUAAACAGUAUAGUUGUAGUAGGUUAGUAGUCACAGUGUGUUGUCUAGAUAGACAGUAUAGUUGUAGUUGUAGUAGGUUAGUAUUCAUAGUGUGUUGUCUAGAUGGACAUUAUAGUUGUAGUAGGUUAGUAUUCAUAGUGUGUUGUCUAGAUGGACAGUAUAGUUGUAGUAGGUUAGUAGUCAUAGUGUGUUGUGUAGAUGGACAGUAUAGUUGUAGUAGGUUAGUAGUCAUAGUGUGUUGUGUAGAUGGACAGUAUAGUUGUAGUAGGUUAGUAUUCAUAGUGUGUUGUCUAGAUAGACAGUAUAGUUUUAGUUGUAGUAGGUUAGUGUUCAUAGUGUGUUGUCUAGAUGGACAGUAUAGUUGUAGUAGGUUAGUAUUCAUAGUGUGUUGUCUAGAUGGACAGUAUAGUUGUAGUAGGUUAGUAGUCAUAGUGUGUUGUCUAGAUGGACAGUAUAGUUGUAGUAGGUUAGUAGUCACAGUGUGUUGUCUAGAUGGACAGUAUAGUUGUAGUAGGUUAGUAUUCAUAGUGUGUUGUCUAGAUAGACAGUAUAGUUGUAGUUGUAGUAGGUUAGUGUUCACAGUGUGUUGUCUAGAUGGACAGUAUAGUUGUAGUUGUAGUAGGUUGGUAGUCAUAGUGUGUUGUCUAGAUAGACAGUAUAGUUGUAGUAGGUUAGUAGUCAUAAUGUGUUGUCUAGAUGGACAGUAUAGUUGUAGUAGGUUAGUAGUCAUAGUAUGUUUUCUAGAUGGACAGUAUACUUGUAGUAGGUUAGUAUUCACAAUGUGUUGUCUAGAUAGACAGUGUAGUUGUAGUAGGUUAGUAGUCAUAGUGUGUUGUCUAGAUGGACAGUAUAGUUGUAAUAGGUUAGUAGUCAUAAUGUUGUCUAGAUGGACAGUAUAG